CCUACGGGUGGCAGCAGUCGAGAAUCAUUCACAAUGGGGGAAACCCUGAUGGUGCGACGCCGCGUGGGGGAAUGAAGGUUUUCGGAUUGUAAACCCCUGUCAUGUGGGAGCAAAUUAAAAAGAUAGUACCACAAGAGGAAGAGACGGCUAACUCUGUGCCAGCAGCCGCGGUAAUACAGAGGUUUCAAGCGUUGUUCGGAAUCACUGGGCGUAAAGCGUGCGUAGGUUGUUUCGUAAGUCGUGUGUGAAAGGCGCGGGCUCAACCCGCGGACGGCACAUGAUACUGCGAGACUAGAGUAAGGGAGGGGGAACCGGAAUUCUCGGUGUAGCAGUGAAAUGCGUAGAUAUCGAGAGGAACACUCGUGGCGAAGGCGGGUUCCUGGACAUUAACUGACGCUGAGGCACGAAGGCCAGGGGAGCGAAAGGGAUUAGAUACCCCUGUAGUC
RNAcentral lists this ribosomal RNA (446 nucleotides) under uncultured bacterium. RNAcentral describes it as "partial 16S ribosomal RNA". It matches the Rfam family "Bacterial small subunit ribosomal RNA", at positions 338 to 795 of the family's 1533-position model. The record is from RNAcentral.